This 994-nucleotide ribosomal RNA is filed under the name Sitona tibialis. RNAcentral's name for it is "SSU rRNA". It matches the Rfam family "Eukaryotic small subunit ribosomal RNA", at positions 441 to 1416 of the family's 1831-position model. Lineage: Eukaryota; Metazoa; Arthropoda; Insecta; Coleoptera; Curculionidae. The record is from RNAcentral.
UUACCCACUCCCGGCACGGGGAGGUAGUGACGAAAAAUAACGAUACGGGACUCAUCCGAGGCCCCGUAAUCGGAAUGAGUACACUCUAAACCCUUUAACGAGGAUCAAUUGNNNNGCAAGUCUGGUGCCAGCANCCGCGGUAAUUCCAGCUCCAAUAGCGUAUAUUAAAGUUGUUGCGGUUAAAAAGCUCGUAGUCGAAUUUNGUGUCUCGUGCCGCUGGUUCAUCGUUCGCGGUGUUAAUUGGCGAGUCGCGAGACNUCCUGCCGGUGGGCUUAGCUCGCAAGGGCGGCCCAACUCAAUCCUGCCGCGGUGCUCUUCACUGAGUGUCGAGGUGGGCCGGCACGUUUACUUUGAACAAAUUAGAGUGCUUAAAGCAGGCUAAAACUUCGCCUGAAUACUGUGUGCAUGGAAUAAUGGAAUAGGACCUCGGUUCUAUUUUGUUGGUUUUCGGAACUCCGAGGUAAUGAUUAAUAGGAACGGAUGGGGGCAUUCGUAUUGCGACGUUAGAGGUGAAAUUCUUGGAUCGUCGCAAGANGGACAGAAGCGAAAGCAUUUGCCAAAAACGCUUUCAUUGAUCAAGAACGAAAGUUAGAGGUUCGAAGGCGAUCAGAUACCGCCCUAGUUCUAACUAUAAACGAUCUCAGCUAGCGAUCCGUCGACGUUCCUCCGNUGACUCGACGGGCAGCUUCCGGGAAACCAAAGCUUUUGGGUUCCGGGGGAAGUAUGGUUGCAAAGCUGAAACUUAAAGGAAUUGACGGAAGGGCACCACCAGGAGUGGAGCCUGCGGCUUAAUUUGACUCAACACGGGAAACCUCACCAGGCCCGGACACCGGAAGGAUUGACAGAUUGAGAGCUCUUUCUUGAUUCGGUGGGUGGUGGUGCAUGGCCGUUCUUAGUUGGUGGAGCGAUUUGUCUGGUUAAUUCCGAUAACGAACGAGACUCUAGCCUGCUAACUAGGCGUAUUUUGACAUCCUAAAGGCCCGCCGACUCGGGG